AAUGAACGCUGGCGGCGCGCCUAAUACAUGCAAGUCGAGCGAGAAGACGUAGCAAUACGUUUGUAAAGCGGCGAACGGGUGAGGAAUACAUGGGUAACCUACCCUCGAGUGGGGAAUAACUAGCCGAAAGGUUAGCUAAUACCGCGUACGCUUCUUGGACUUCGGUUCAGGGAGGAAAGCGAUGCCGAGGGUAUCGCGCUCUUGGAUGGGCUCAUGUCCUAUCAGCUUGUUGGGA
Molecule: ribosomal RNA, 235 nt
Filed under: uncultured bacterium
Lineage: Bacteria
Description: partial 16S ribosomal RNA
Rfam family: Bacterial small subunit ribosomal RNA
Source: RNAcentral